Long non-coding RNA from Scleropages formosus (Asian bonytongue), 227 nucleotides. RefSeq lists it as uncharacterized. Lineage: Eukaryota; Metazoa; Chordata; Actinopteri; Osteoglossiformes; Osteoglossidae. The transcript is spliced from 3 exons. The record is from RefSeq and is a predicted model, not a curated record.
AUUUUUUUCUACUGCGAACUCGAAUAUGUACCACAGUACAGAGGUGGAGUAAAACACGUGAGUUCAUGAUCUCCAGUGAAUGAUCAUUGCCUGGUAUUUCACUGUCACUCUGAGACACAUCCAGUUCUGCAGGUGACCUGGAAUGACAGGAUCAGUGAUGAAGAUCAGUUGGUCUGAGUGUCUCUGUUUGAUCCUCCUGCUUCUCCAACAGACCACUGUCUCCACGU